CUGGCGGGCGCAACGCAGCGGGGGGUGCAUCGCUGCUGCUACGGCUUUGGCAUUUUGUCAAACACGACGCAAGCACGACAGCGCAGGGAGUACACUGUUGUCGCUUGGCGGGUUGAGGAGUAUGGGGUGGCUCUAGGGAGGGAGCUCCUUGCUGCAGGCAUGCAUGGGAGAGGGACGCCUGCACUUGGGGAGGGCGCUGGCUGGGAGAGGGGCUCGGCCAUGGCAAGAACAGAGAAGGAGGAGGGAGAUGUGCUGCUGUUGGGCGCCGGCAAGGGGAAGCUGCAGGGGUGGCGCCCAUGGGAUCUUCUCCCACUGCGCCAGGGAGGAGAUGGGAGCAGAGAGCUUGGGCGCCAUGGCUGCUGGGCGAAGCUGGGGCUCGGUCUGCAACAGUGGGGGUCGGCAAUGGGGAAGAAGCUCUCUGCUGGAAAUUCAGGGCGCCAUGGAGCAAGAAGCAGAGGAAGCCGUGACCAAGGGGAGAGAAGGGGGCGCUGUGCACAGGGGGUAGGGGGAGGCGCCUGCUGGCUUGAGGAAGAAGGGGAGGAGGGCGCCAUGGAUCAGCGCUCGCCCACGCCAUGGACAGCAGAGGGAAACGUUGGGGGAGCUCGAUUACUGGCCGACCAUGGAGAAGACGACUCCCUGCUGUAG
Molecule: unclassified non-coding RNA, 645 nt
Filed under: Zea mays
Lineage: Eukaryota; Viridiplantae; Streptophyta; Magnoliopsida; Poales; Poaceae
Description: misc RNA Zm00001eb381000
Source: RNAcentral